Molecule: long non-coding RNA, 290 nt
Organism: Drosophila teissieri
Lineage: Eukaryota; Metazoa; Arthropoda; Insecta; Diptera; Drosophilidae
Exons: 2
Source: RefSeq, a predicted model, not a curated record
AACGAAUCUAGUAUACCUUUUAACUCUACGAGUAACGUUUAUACAAAUUGGGGAAAACUGCAUGGACUCAGGCAGUGCAUUCGAAUGGCAGCCCAUCUUGCGUUUGAAGCCUUUGUCCGUGCACAAAAACCCUAGAAAAGGAAAGCAUUGCGCGGGAGCCUGCAUUGAAGUCCGUUACAAGCGAAAUGCAUUAAGCCCACGAGUUUUAAUUAAAUUAUUAUUAAUCUCAUUUGACUGCGUGCAUGUGUGGGUUAAGUCCGGCCGCACCUGGCUCCACCUGGCUCCACCUG